RNAcentral lists this transfer RNA (94 nucleotides) under Ampelomyces quisqualis. It matches the Rfam family "tRNA". Rfam says of the family: Transfer RNA (tRNA) molecules are approximately 80 nucleotides in length. Their secondary structure includes four short double-helical elements and three loops (D, anti-codon, and T loops). The record is from Rfam by way of RNAcentral. Lineage: Eukaryota; Fungi; Ascomycota; Dothideomycetes; Pleosporales; Phaeosphaeriaceae.
GGCACCAUGGCCUAAUGGUAAGGCGUUGCUUUCCGGUCUCUCUUCACGGAAAAAUCGAUGGCAAAGAUUGUGGGUUCGAGUCCCACUGGUGUCG